Molecule: ribosomal RNA, 253 nt
Filed under: uncultured bacterium
Lineage: Bacteria
Description: partial 16S ribosomal RNA
Rfam family: Bacterial small subunit ribosomal RNA
Source: RNAcentral
UACAGAGGGUGCAAGCGUUGUUCGGAAUUAUUGGGCGUAAAGCGCGUGUAGGCGGCUUCGCAAGUCGGGUGUGAAAGCCCUCGGCUCAACCGAGGAAGUGCGCCCGAAACUGCAGAGCUUGAGUACCGGAGAGGAUGGCGGAAUUCCCCAAGUAGAGGUGAAAUGCGUAGAUAUCUGGAGGAACACCGGUGGCGAAGGCGGCAUCCUGGACCAUUACUGACACUGAAAAGCGAAAGCCAGGGGAGCAAACGGG